This 449-nucleotide ribosomal RNA is filed under the name uncultured bacterium. RNAcentral describes it as "partial 16S ribosomal RNA". It matches the Rfam family "Bacterial small subunit ribosomal RNA", at positions 29 to 523 of the family's 1533-position model. The record is from RNAcentral.
AACGAACGCUGGCGGCAUGCCUAACACAUGCAAGUCGAACGAGAUCUUCGGGUCUAGUGGCGCACGGGUGCGUAACGCGUGGGAAUCUGCCCUUUGGUUCGGAAUAACAGUUGGAAACGACUGCUAAUACCGGAUGAUGACGAAAGUCCAAAGAUUUAUCGCAAGAGGAUGAGCCCGCGUAGGAUUAGCUAGUUGGUGUGGUAAAGGCGCACCAAGGCAACGAUCCUGAGCUGGUCUGAGAGGAUGAUCAGCCACACUGGGCCUGAGACACGGCCCAGACUCCUACGGGAGGCAGCAGUGGGGAAUAUUGGACAAUGGGCGAAAGCCUGAUCCAGCAAUGCCGCGUGAGUGAUGAAGGCCUUAGGGUUGUAAAGCUCUUUUACCCGGGAUGAUAAUGACAGUACCGGGAGAAUAAGCUCCGGCUAACUCCGUGCCAGCAGCCGCCGUAA